GGGUCUCACAGGAAAUCCAGGCGUUUCAGGUCCAGAAGGCAAGUCGGGUCCUUUGGGUGCACCAGGAGAAGAUGGCCGCCCAGGCCCAGCAGGUUCCAUAGGGAUUAGAGGCCAGCCAGGGAGUAUGGGUCUCCCCGGGCCAAAGGGCAGUAGCGGGGACCCCGGAAAACCUGGAGAAGCCGGCAACGCGGGCG
Gekko japonicus is the source of this 194-nucleotide long non-coding RNA. RefSeq lists it as uncharacterized. The transcript has 3 exons. The record is from RefSeq and is a predicted model, not a curated record. Lineage: Eukaryota; Metazoa; Chordata; Lepidosauria; Squamata; Gekkonidae.